This 253-nucleotide ribosomal RNA is filed under the name uncultured bacterium. RNAcentral's name for it is "partial 16S ribosomal RNA". It matches the Rfam family "Bacterial small subunit ribosomal RNA", at positions 524 to 776 of the family's 1533-position model. The record is from RNAcentral.
UACAGAGGGUGCGAGCGUUAAUCGGAAUUACUGGGCGUAAAGCGUGCGUAGACGGCUAUCUAAGUCGGGUGUGAAAGCCCCGGGCUCAACCUGGGAAUUGCAUUCGAGACUGAAUAGCUAGGGUACGGUAGAGGGAAGCGGAAUUUCCGGUGUAGCGGUGAAAUGCGUAGAUAUCGGGAGGAACACCAGUGGCGAAGGCGGCUUUCUGGCCUGUUCUUGACGCUGAGGCGCGAAAGCUAGGGGAGCAAACGGG